GCGGCUGUAGCUUAGUGGUAGAGCGCUUGCCUAACAUGUGAGGCACUGAGUUCGAUUCUCAGCACUGCA
RNAcentral lists this transfer RNA (69 nucleotides) under Ictidomys tridecemlineatus (thirteen-lined ground squirrel). RNAcentral's name for it is "Spermophilus tridecemlineatus (thirteen-lined ground squirrel) tRNA". It matches the Rfam family "tRNA". Rfam says of the family: Transfer RNA (tRNA) molecules are approximately 80 nucleotides in length. Their secondary structure includes four short double-helical elements and three loops (D, anti-codon, and T loops). The record is from Rfam by way of RNAcentral. Lineage: Eukaryota; Metazoa; Chordata; Mammalia; Rodentia; Sciuridae.